RNAcentral lists this transfer RNA (64 nucleotides) under Papilio bianor (Chinese peacock). RNAcentral's name for it is "tRNA-Arg". The record is from RNAcentral. Lineage: Eukaryota; Metazoa; Arthropoda; Insecta; Lepidoptera; Papilionidae.
AUAUGAAGCAAUAUUAUGCAUUUAAUUUCGACUUAAAAGAAAGAGUUAUUACUCCAUAUUUUUA